CUUUUCUUUUCUUUUUUUUUCUCUCUUCUUCUUCCUCCGUGCGCCGCGACCCCCACCCGUCCUCUUCUCCUUCCCGUUCGCAUCAAUCGCCGCCCCAUCCGUUCUCUUCUCUUUCGUUCGCAGCAGCCGUCGGCCGCCGCGUCUCCCCUACUGAAGCCGAGCGCCGCGACCAUUCCUUUCUCCUCUUCUCUUCAGUUCGCAAAGCAGCUGUACGCGUCCAAAUCUGUCGUCGUCCAGAUCUGCACCGCAAGACCUUCCGUCGUUGCGACCGUUGCUCUUUCUCCGCUGCCCAGCCGUCUCAGCCGGUUCUGUCUCCGUCGAAGCCACGGUUCUGCAACCGUCUCCGCCGGUUCUGUCUUCGUCGAAGCUAAGGCCCCCGCGUGAACCAGUAACCGCUACGCUCUCCGCUCACAACCGCCGCUCCACUUGCUAUCGACGUCGGUCGACUAGUUGCUGUAACCGUUCAGAUUUGCUGUAACCGUUCAGAUUCGCGGUCUGUUCGCGACGGUCUCCAUCCGUGAAGCCCAGCCGCCACGUUCCCUUUGGCCGACCGCUGACCGACCCACACUUAGGAUUUUGCUGCAAGUUCGACAGUCGUGCGUUGAGGUGUUGGGAGUAACGUUAGGCUCCCUUGCAUUCACAACCAGUUUGUGAGUUGUUGAGGGUUCAGUUCGCCAAUAUAUCGGAUUGUUUCGAGGACGUUAGUUGAUUAAGGAGCUUCCCCAACUUUGAGGUAAGGGAUUUUCUACUGGACUCAAUUGUGAUUGUGAACUGUGAUUGUGAACUGCAUGUGUGUUGAAUGUAUACUGUGGGCUAACUGAAAAUAUAUAUGAAUGUAUAUGAAUUGAAGUAGACUUGACG
Molecule: long non-coding RNA, 861 nt
Organism: Cucumis sativus (cucumber)
Lineage: Eukaryota; Viridiplantae; Streptophyta; Magnoliopsida; Cucurbitales; Cucurbitaceae
Exons: 2
Source: RefSeq, a predicted model, not a curated record